GUCUCCGUAGCUCAGUGGAUAGAGCGUUUGGUUGCGGACCAAAAGGCCGCAGGUUCGAAUCCUGCCGGGGACGCCU
This 76-nucleotide transfer RNA is filed under the name Chloroflexota bacterium. RNAcentral's name for it is "Chloroflexi bacterium tRNA-Arg". It matches the Rfam family "tRNA". From Rfam's summary of the family: Transfer RNA (tRNA) molecules are approximately 80 nucleotides in length. Their secondary structure includes four short double-helical elements and three loops (D, anti-codon, and T loops). Lineage: Bacteria; Bacillati; Chloroflexota. The record is from RNAcentral.